CCAUUACCCACACAAAUAACGUAUCUAAAAACCUAAAGAAAAAUCCCCUUCUCUCAAAUAUCCAUGGCUUGUAGUUGCAGAAUCUAUCUUAACAUUGAAUUUGAUUUACUUCCAAAUGUACCACCUGGUUUAUGUGACUCGUUUUAAUGCCUAUUGUAAUAUGACUUACAUCUCUUUCUCCUCAUUAUUCUUUCUGCCAAUAUCAUCUGCACAUUGCAAUCUGCACGUAGCCAUUUUUAACCUCAAUUCAGAGCUCUUUUCACUCACAAUGGUCAGCUCUCACUCUUUCCCUUAAUCCAUUCCCCUAAUUCCCUUAAACCCUUCCCUUAAUUCUCUUUAUUUUUCAAGUGAAACGAAAAUUCACUUUUUUUUGUUGCCCAAAACAAGCUCAUUCUCGUUUAUCACUGAUCUUGGGUUGUAUGGUUGAGGUUAUCACUUGUAGAAAAAAUUAUGCAUUUUGGGUUUUAGGUUUAGCUGAAUUGAAAUAGUUGGCGUAGUAUUUUUUCGUGAUCUCUCUGAUUGUCGCAGAAUCGAUCAAGAAUUGACUAAGAAAAGAAGAUCAUGGAC
RNAcentral lists this long non-coding RNA (567 nucleotides) under Solanum tuberosum (potato). RNAcentral's name for it is "long non-coding RNA (STUB_LNC006172)". Lineage: Eukaryota; Viridiplantae; Streptophyta; Magnoliopsida; Solanales; Solanaceae. The record is from RNAcentral.